GCCUUAGCUCAGUUGGUAGAGCAACGGACUGAAAAUCCGUGUGUCCCUGGUUCGAUUCCUGGA
This 63-nucleotide transfer RNA is filed under the name uncultured Psychroflexus sp. It matches the Rfam family "tRNA", at positions 7 to 64 of the family's 71-position model. Rfam says of the family: Transfer RNA (tRNA) molecules are approximately 80 nucleotides in length. Their secondary structure includes four short double-helical elements and three loops (D, anti-codon, and T loops). The record is from RNAcentral. Lineage: Bacteria; Pseudomonadati; Bacteroidota; Flavobacteriia; Flavobacteriales; Flavobacteriaceae.